Molecule: small nucleolar RNA, 130 nt
Organism: Rattus rattus (black rat)
Lineage: Eukaryota; Metazoa; Chordata; Mammalia; Rodentia; Muridae
Product: small nucleolar RNA SNORA17
Exons: 1
Source: RefSeq, a predicted model, not a curated record
CCUGCCCCUAGAGGCAUUGUAGGUGUGGCUGCUGUGUCACACGUGCAUCAGUAGGUGGCAGAGAGGACAGAGGUUGAGUCUACGUUCCCUGUUCUGACCUACGAACAUCUGAAGGAUGUUCCCUGGGAAA